UUGUCAUUGCUAAUAGACGCAAUUAUUCCGGUGUGGGGAUCCUCACCAUCAACAUCAGCAACUGUAAAUUCAGGGCCAAAGUCACAAAACACGCUACCAAAAAGGCCUCGAACUUCAGCUUUGAUGAAAGCUAUCGGAGGCUGGUGUUGAUGACAGUAAUCAUCAAAUUCAACAGCCUUCUCUAAGCUGAUAUCUGUAAAUACAACAGCCUGCCAAGGAUAUAGCAAUAAGAAUUGGAGGCUGGUGCUGAUGACAGUAAUCAUCAAAUUCAACUGCCUUCUCUAAGCUGAUAUCUGUAAAUACAACAGCCUGCCAAGGAUAUAGCAAUAAGGAUGUCAUUUCCCCCACAAUCAUGCCACAGUACUAGUUAAAUAAUUAUCGCAUCUAAAAAAAUUAACUCUGUUAUGUUCAUAUCACUGACAGACAAUAACAAAUAUAACUAAUAACACCAAUUGCAAACAUUGUACCAAAUAUUGGGUUGUUAUUGUUGUUGCACCAAAUACUUCACCACCCAUACAGUAGUAGACAUCCUCAAAUAAAUUGCUAUCGACAUAGUUAAGAUAAUUCGUCCCUGAAAAAUCUUAAUGACUGUCGCAUCCCACAAUAAAUGCGAACACAGGUUACUUGUAUUUUUAUGUAAGCUUAACCAUUAUCACUGUAACAGUGUACGUGGAAAGCAACUCUAUUUAGUUUAAAUAUUAUAAUAUUUAAAUCAGAUCUCUGUUUGGUCGUAAAUGGCUAUAUCGUUUUGCAACUAAACUAACUAUCUAAAAAAUCAAUGAUAGAUUUUUUAUAGGUAAAAUUUACAAGAGUUUUUAGCCUUGAAAAAAUGACUAGACAAAUAAACUGGAGAUAUUUUCUUUACACAAUUAAUCAGGACAUAGGUCAUUUCUGUCCUGGCAAAAUUCAAAAAAUUUGUCGGUUUUCCAAUGGAGAACCUCACU
Molecule: long non-coding RNA, 944 nt
Filed under: Nicotiana benthamiana
Lineage: Eukaryota; Viridiplantae; Streptophyta; Magnoliopsida; Solanales; Solanaceae
Description: long non-coding RNA (NBEN_LNC021030)
Source: RNAcentral